RNAcentral lists this ribosomal RNA (1038 nucleotides) under uncultured Omnitrophica bacterium. Its description in RNAcentral is "bacterial SSU rRNA". It matches the Rfam family "Bacterial small subunit ribosomal RNA", at positions 89 to 1102 of the family's 1533-position model. The record is from RNAcentral. Lineage: Bacteria; Pseudomonadati; Candidatus Omnitrophota.
AGCUUAGUGGCAAACGGGUGAGCAACGCAUGGGUAACCUACCCCUGAAACCGGGAUAACAUCUCGAAAGGGAUGCUAAUACCGGAUAAGACCACAGUAGCGCAUGUUACAGUGGGAAAAGAUGAGGAUCCGCAAGGACUUGUCAUUUGGGGAGGGGCCCGUGUCCUAUCAGCUAGUUGGUGAGGUAACGGCCCACCAAGGCUAUUGACGGGCAGCUGGUCUAAGAGGAUGGUCAGCCACACUGGCACUGAGACACUGGCCAGACUCCUACGGGAGGCUGCAGUCGAGAAUCUUUAGCAAUGGGCGAAAGCCUGACUAUGCGACGCCGCGUGAGCGAUGAAGGUCUUCGGAUCGUAAAGCUCUGUCACGCCGGAGGAAGUCUCAGGCACUAAUACUGCCGAAAGAUGACAGUACGGCGAGAGGAAGCCACGGCUAACUCCGUGCCAGCAGCCGCGGGUAAGACGGAGGUGGCCGAGCGUUACUCGGAAUCAUUGGGUGUAAGGGCAUGUAGGCGGUUAUAUAAGUCGAAUGUGAAAUCCUUUGGCUCAACCAAAGAACUGCAUUCGAUACUGUAUGACUUGAGCACGGCAAGGGAGAUCGGAAUUCCCGGUGUAAGGGUGAAAUCUGUAGAUAUCGGGAGGAACACCAGUGGCGAAAGCGGAUCUCUGGGCCGAGGCUGACGCUGAUAUGCGAAAGCUAGGGGAGCAAACAGGAUUAGAUACCCUGGUAGUCCUAGCCGUAAACGAUGGGCAUUAGGUGUCGGUCCGUAAGGAUCGGUGCCGCAGUUAACACAUUAAGUGCCCCACCUGGGGACUACGGCGGCAACGUUAAAACUCAAAGGAAUUGACGGGGGCCCGCACAAGCGGUGGAGCAUGUGGUUCAAUUCGACGCUACGCGAAGAACCUCACCAAGGCUUGACAUGCUAGUAGUAGUGAACCGAAAGGGGAACGACUCCGCAAGGAGAGCUAGCACAGGUGCUGCAUGGCUGUCGUCAGCUCGUGUCGUGAGAUGUUGGGUUAAGUCCCGCAACGAGCGCAAC